CAGUAGCCACGGUAAUACGGAGGGAGCUAGCGUUGUUCGGAAUUACUGGGCGUAAAGCGUGCGUAGGCGGCUUCUUAAGUCGGAUGUGAAAUCCCUGAGCUUAACUUAGGAAUUGCAUUCGAUACUGGGAAGCUAGAGUAUGGGAGAGGAUGGUAGAAUUCCAGGUGUAGCGGUGAAAUGCGUAGAGAUCUGGAGGAAUACCGAUGGCGAAGGCAGCCAUCUGGCCUAAUACUGACGCUGAGGUACGAAAGCAUGGGGAGCAAACAGGAUUAGAUACCCGAGUAGUCCCUGUCUCUUAUAC
Molecule: ribosomal RNA, 301 nt
Filed under: uncultured bacterium
Lineage: Bacteria
Description: partial 16S ribosomal RNA
Rfam family: Bacterial small subunit ribosomal RNA
Source: RNAcentral